AAAAGGUUUAAAUGUUGCAUUAUAUAUAUAUUUCGAACCAUGCACUAAUCGUGUAUCAACACGACGAAGAAAGAACUAAAUUGUAAUCAUAUUUAUACCCCCGCACAACAAAGUUGUAUGUGGGUAUACUGGAAUCAGCUUGUCCGUCCGUCCGUCCGUCCGUCCGGCUGUCCGUCGGUUUUUUCUUGUCCGCCCAAUAACUUAAGAUUCCUUUGACCCUUAGUCUUCAUAUUUGGCAUGGAGGUUAGUCAUGAUUAGUAGAUGACCCCUUUUGAUUUUGAGGUCACUGGAUCAAAGGUCAAGGUCAUAGGGACUUUGACUUUAAAAAGUUUGUCCACCCAUUAACUUAAGAUUCCUUUGACCCACAGUCUUCAUAUUUGGCAUGGAUGUUGAUCAUGACUAUAAGGUGACCCCUAUUGAUUUUGAGGUCACUGGGUCAAAGGUCAAGGUCACAGGGACCUUGACAA
Molecule: long non-coding RNA, 467 nt
Organism: Ruditapes philippinarum (Manila clam)
Lineage: Eukaryota; Metazoa; Mollusca; Bivalvia; Venerida; Veneridae
Exons: 2
Source: RefSeq, a predicted model, not a curated record